This is a long non-coding RNA of Pyrgilauda ruficollis (rufous-necked snowfinch), 4029 nucleotides long. RefSeq lists it as uncharacterized. Lineage: Eukaryota; Metazoa; Chordata; Aves; Passeriformes; Passeridae. The transcript is spliced from 2 exons. The record is from RefSeq and is a predicted model, not a curated record.
AGCUCUUUGCACGGCCUUGCUUUGGAAAUUAGGCGGGAUAAUGACGUCUCAUCGCUCUCGUUUUUGUAUUUUUAUUUUGUUUCUUCUUCACAAAAAACAAACUCGACCCAACGAACCGGGGUCUGCCCCGCCAGGAGCAGCGUGGCAGGAGGGCCCAGCGGAGCAGCUGGCUCCAGAGACCCCGGCGAGGAGACGGCAGCGGAGACCCCCCGGCACUCGACGCCGUCGGUGCGGAGCAACCGUCAGGAGGGGGGGAAAAAAAACCAAAAAAACCCCAUUUUUGCUCAUUAACUUCAUGCCCUGACUCCCAAGUUCACACUUCUGCCUGGAAGCUGAGAGGCUGGAAACCACAAAACGCAAGAGACAAACGAGACAAACGCUGGGUUAGGCAGAUGCAGGUUCAGAUCUGCCUGGCGGGGAAGGCGCCGGAGCGGAGCUGCAGCCGCGGCACUCGACGAUCCCUGGGCUGGUGCCAGGGGCAGGUACAGCCCUGGACUGGUGCCAGGGGCAGGUACAGCUCUGAGCUGGUGCCAGGGGCAGGUACAGCCCUAGGCUGGUGGCACAGGCAGGUACAGCUCUGAGCUGGUGGCAUGGCCAGGUACAGCUCUGAGCUGGUGCCAGGGGCAGGCACAGCUCUGGGCUGAUGGCACGGGCAGGUACAGCCCUGGGCUGGUGCCAGGGGCAAGUACAGCCCUGGGCUGGUGGCAUGGCCAGGUACAGCCCUGGGCUGGUGCCAUAGCCAGGUACAGCCCUGGGCUGGUGCCACAGGCAGGUACAGCCCUGGGCUGGUGGCAUGGGCAGGUACAGCUCUGGGCUGGUGCCACGGGCUCGUGGGGAGGCAGGGGUGCCCGGGCCAGACAUGGCGUUGGCUUCACGUCGCAGUGAAAAGGGUUUGGGGGCUGUUUGUCGGGGUCUUUACUUUGUUGGGGGCUUGGGGUUAUUUUAUUAUUAUAUUCUUUUUUUUUUUUGUCCGGGUCAUUAUCCUUUAUUUCCCCCUCCAGACUGUAGUAUCUGGUAAACUCCUCCUAAUUUUCAAAAGACAACGAGAAGAAUGACAAUCUAAGAAACCAACACCCUCCUUUGUGCUUCUAUAAAUAUGUUUCUGAUCUAAUUUUAUUUCUCGUGCUCAUCUGUACUGUUGACAGUUACAAUUGUGUAUAAUUUUUUUUUUAAUUUGGAAUUUUUGCGUUGUAUAGGGUUUAGUUUUAAAAUAUAUAUAUAUUUUCCAUUUUUUAAAAAGGGGUGUUGCAAAAAAAAAAUUGCACGAUUUAAAUGACAAUAGUUAAAAUGCUGCAGUUUUUAGAGAUGUGGAAGCAAAAUGGAGCUUAUUUAUUCUCAAAGGCUAUAAAGGUGUAAAAUGCAUGAAGAAAAAAAAAACAUUUACAAAAAAAAAAAAAAAGACAAAAAAAGUGUAACCUGAACAAAGUGUAGCGUUAAAGAUUUUAAAGGAUGACAACAACAAGAAAAAAAGAAAAAAACCAACAAAAAAACAGCUAAUAUAUUGUGUUUGGGCUAGUUUGCUUUUGUUUUUAAUUGUUCCUUUUUUGGAGAAUGAAAUACAUUUGUGUAUAUUUUCAUAUAAGAAGUAUGCACUGAGAUGUUUCCAAACUGAUAUAUUCCUUUCUAAACGUGUGGUUACUUACCAAAGUCUGUUUCUGAUCUUUACCUUCUAAACUCUCUGUGGAUCCUCCAGCCCGCACCUGAGCGCAGGUAAGGCGGGGUGGGGGCAGCGGCACGGCCCCCUCCCCGCGGGGUGCCAGGGGUGCCAGGGGGCUGAGCCGGGGGGCUGGCACAUGUGGGGGCUGUGACCCUCGGCCUGGGAAGGCUGGUCUUUCCCAGGGCCUGGCAAAGCUGUUUUUUGGGGUGUCCGUGCUGGUUUUUGGGGUGUCUGUGCCGCUGCGGGGCUGGCUGGGGUGGGCUGGUGCCAGGAGCAGCCUGGUGAGGGCAGGGGCAGAGCGGGGGGUUCCUCCCCUGGAGCUGUGCCCAGUGUGUGCUGGCAUGGCCAGGUUUGGUGCAGAGAGGAGGAGGAUGGAAGGAAGGAAGGAAGGAUGGAGGAAGGUCACAGGGUGUGGCUCAGGUGACGCUGCUGCCGGCAGCUGUAGGAGCAGGAUGGGGUGGGAAGUCACCUGCCCAGCCCUGGAGGAGAUUUGGGGAUGGAGCAGGACCCUAAAUGAUGGAUAGAACCCAAAAUAGUGGGAAGGGCACUAAAAGGGGCCUAAAAUACUGCCUGGGAGCAGUGAGGAUGGUGAUGGAUCAGUGGAGAUGGUCCUGCCCGCUCUGGGGGCUGUGGACGUGGUCAGCUGGGGUUGGGUGGUCAGCUGAGGUUAGAUGGUCAGCUGGGCUGGAUGGUCAGCUGGGUUCAGGUGGUCAGCUGGAGUUACAUGGUCUGCUGAGUUCAGGUGGUCAGCUGGGGUUGGGUGGUCAGCUGAGGUUAGAUGGUCAGCUGGGUUCAGAUGGUCAGCUGGGUUCAGGUGGUCAGCUGGGCUUGGAUGGUCAGCUGAGGUUGGAUGGUCAGCUGGGCUUGGAUGGUCUGCUGAGUUCAGGUGGUCAGCUGAGGUUGGAUGAUCAGCUGGAGUUACGUGGUCAGCUGGAAUUGCAUGGUCAGCUGGGCUUGGAUGGUCAGCUGGAGUUACAUGGUCAGCUGGAAUUACAUGGUCAGCUGGGCUUGGAUGGUCAGCUGGGCUUGGAUGGUCAGCUGGAAUCAGGCAGUCAGCUGGGUUCGGGCGGUCAGCACGAGGACAGGGUGACCCCUGCUCUAGGGGUGUUUUGGGGGUGGCAGGGAGCCUGCCUGUGCAGGAGGUUUGGGUGAAGGGCUUGGUGCUGGGGGCACGCUGGCAGUGGUUGUGGUGCUGGCAGGAGCACCCGAGCCCCCACGGGGGUUGUGGUUGUGGCAGGGAGACUCCGGGGGUCCCUUGGGGAGGGGGUUGUUGCUCUGCGGUGUUUGAGGCCCCUGCCAGGGUUGGGGUCUGGGGGCAGUGGAAGUGUUAAAUCCAGAGCUGGUGGUGAUGGGCCACGUGUGGGCCUGGGCUAAACUGGGGCAAAGAGAAAGAACACGUUUCCUUUUCCAUCUCCCUUUUUCACUUCCCUCUUCCUCUCCAGAAUAAUUUCAGCAAACCAAGGAAAAAGCAAAUUUACAAAAACCCCCACAUUUUCCUUGAAAAUUUCACUUCUUACACUUUUUUCUCCCCUUGUGUUGCUUGGCUGGAGGAUUUCCCCCAUCACUUUGGGCCUGAAUUGGGAUGUUUGUCACCAGUUCUGGGGACAAGGCUGUGAGCUGCUGCUGCCAGCCCAGAGCUUGGCUGGGGCUGAGGGGCACUUGGUGCUCUGGGGGUCCCCUCUGCCCUCCUAGGGAGAGCAUCCCUCCGGUGGGGAUGGAGCAUCUUCCCAGCCACUCCUUAGCUCUGCCGUCCUGCCUCCCUUCUCUCCAGCUGGGGGCACAAUUUGGGGAAGUUUGGGGGAUUUUCACCACCCAAAGUGGUGAAAAUUCAUCCCCAUCCACCUCUCCCUGAGCUGUGGGAGAGUGUCUAACAGUGGGCUUCAGCUGAAGGUUUGCUCUGGUUUCCCUUUCCCGUGUUCAUCCUUUUAUUCCACCUUUCCCUCUCACUUCACUUUUAUUAAUUUUUUUUUUCAGUUUUCCUUUCCACAAAAAACCCCAACCACACCCAUAAACCAAGUAUUAUGUUUUCACUACCUCCAUCCACCACCCUUCCUUGUCCAAUGCAGGAAGCCACACUCGGGGUGUAAGAGGGCCUUUCCCCCUUUAUUUUCCCCUUUCCCUGGUGAUUUUCUCUCCCUUCUGUCCCUCUGCCCCUCCUCUCUCUGGUCUCUCACCUGUAGUAUUUUACCUGGCUACUGUAACUGUAAAUAGCGAGUUUCAAUCUGUUAGCAAUGGUAACAGUACAGAAAACUGGUUUGUUUUUUUUUUUUGUUUGUUCGUUUGUUUGGUUUGUUUUUUUUUUUUUUUGUUGAUAUGAAAUGAGAUUAUAUUUUUGUCAGAGUAUAUUGUAAUAAUACUGACUUUGGACAUGG